This 427-nucleotide ribosomal RNA is filed under the name uncultured bacterium. RNAcentral's name for it is "bacterial SSU rRNA". It matches the Rfam family "Bacterial small subunit ribosomal RNA", at positions 355 to 774 of the family's 1533-position model. The record is from RNAcentral.
UGGGGAAUUUUGGACAAUGGGCGCAAGCCUGAUCCAGCCAUGCCGCGUGGGUGAAGAAGGCCUUCGGGUUGUAAAGCUCUUUUAGUCGGAAAGAAAGAGUUGCAAUGAAUAAUUGUGAUUUAUGACGGUACCGACAGAAAAAGCACCGGCUAACUACGUGCCAGCAGCCGCGGUAAUACGUAGGGUGCGAGCGUUAAUCGGAAUUACUGGGCGUAAAGGGUGCGCAGGCGGUCUUGCAAGUCAGAUGUGAAAGCCCCGGGCUUAACCUGGGAAUUGCGUUUGAAACUACAAGACUAGAGUGCAGCAGAGGGGAGUGGAAUUCCAUGUGUAGCAGUGAAAUGCGUAGAGAUGUGGAAGAACACCGAUGGCGAAGGCAGCUCCCUGGGUUGACACUGACGCUCAUGCACGAAAGCGUGGGGAGCAAACA